AUGGAGGCCACGUACAUCUCACCUGCUGCACCAUCCUGGGCGGAGCAGCACGAGGCAAAGAAGGCCAAUGCCGAGUCUCCGCAGCUGAUCGGCGUGCGGAGGCGGCCGUGGGGCAAGUAUGCGGCGGAGAUCCGGGACUCCACGCGCAGCAGUGAGCGCGUGUGGCUGGGCACGUUUGACACCCCGGAGGCCGCCGUGCUGGCCUACGACCAGGCGGCCUACACGUCCCGCGGAACCGCGACCGUGCUCAAUUUCCCGGUGGAGCGAGUCCGGGAGUCGCUGCGCGUGCUGAAGCUCGGCGAAGCCGCGGCCGCGGGGGAGGACGGAGAAAGGUGUGGCAGCUCCCGGUUGUAG
RNAcentral lists this ribosomal RNA (354 nucleotides) under Triticum aestivum (bread wheat). RNAcentral describes it as "partial small subunit ribosomal RNA". Lineage: Eukaryota; Viridiplantae; Streptophyta; Magnoliopsida; Poales; Poaceae. The record is from RNAcentral.